AAGCGCUUGCAAUCAGACUUGCGCGUCGUCGAUCAUCUGGUGUUCUCACCGGUGCGCUCGGCGAUGUUCAGGCCAGCAUCAGUUUUGAUGGUUGGAUAAAGGCCCUGGGAAUGUGGCUCUCCUCGGAGAGUGUUAUAGCCCAAGGUGCAAUACAGCCCACCGAGACUGAGGACCGCGCUUCGGCUAGGAUGCUGGCGUAAUGGUUGCAAGCGA
This 213-nucleotide ribosomal RNA is filed under the name Leotiomycetes sp. RNAcentral describes it as "partial large subunit ribosomal RNA". Lineage: Eukaryota; Fungi; Ascomycota; Leotiomycetes. The record is from RNAcentral.